UAUAUUGAGAGUUUGAUCCUGGCUCAGGAUGAACGCUGGCGGCGUGCUUAACACAUGCAAGUCGAACGGACGGAUUGGAGCUUGCUCCAUGAAGUUAGUGG
Molecule: ribosomal RNA, 101 nt
Filed under: Clostridia bacterium
Lineage: Bacteria; Bacillati; Bacillota; Clostridia
Description: partial 16S ribosomal RNA
Rfam family: Bacterial small subunit ribosomal RNA
Source: RNAcentral